GACGAACGCUGGCGGCGUGCUUAACACAUGCAAGUCGAACGGAAAGGCCCUGCUUUUGUUGGGUGCUCGAGUGGCGCACGUGUGUGUAACACGGGAGUAGCCUGCCCUUUACUUUGGGAUAACGUCAGGAAACGGGGGCUAAUACCGGAUACGAGCUCCUGCUGCAUGGUGGGGGUUGGAAAGGUUCGGCGGUCCGGGUUGGACUCGCGGCUUAUCAGCUUGUUGGUGGGGUAGUGGCUUACCAAGGCUUUGACGGGUAGCCGGCCUGAGAGGGUGGACGGCCACAAGGGGACUGAGAUACGGACCAGACUCGUACGGGAGGCAGCAGUGGGGAAUAUUGCACAACGGGCGGAAGCCUGAUGCAGCAACGCCGCGUGCGGGAUGACGGCCCUCGGGUGGUAAACCGCUUUCGCCUGUGACGAAGCGUGAGUGACGGUAACGGGUAAAGAAGCACCGGCUAACUACGUG
This 468-nucleotide ribosomal RNA is filed under the name uncultured bacterium. RNAcentral's name for it is "partial 16S ribosomal RNA". It matches the Rfam family "Bacterial small subunit ribosomal RNA", at positions 28 to 507 of the family's 1533-position model. The record is from RNAcentral.